Molecule: long non-coding RNA, 554 nt
Organism: Zingiber officinale
Lineage: Eukaryota; Viridiplantae; Streptophyta; Magnoliopsida; Zingiberales; Zingiberaceae
Exons: 2
Source: RefSeq, a predicted model, not a curated record
UCGUUAAGCCGAUCACAACUAGGAGGAAUGGAAGGUACCAAGUCGAUCUGAAGCUUUGGUUCUCUGCAAUCCCUAAUCUGUCCCUUACUGGCACUUCUUCCCAGUCCCGGCAGGUAGAUCAAAGGUCAGAGGUGGAAAUAGGAUAUUUGAGGAGGAAAGGAGGCUGCUUGGAGGACGGCGGUGGGGAUCGAAACGGGAGUGAUGAGGAAUCAGGGGCGGAGGAGCUGAUAAGGUUCGCCGGAGGGAAGCUUUACCAGAGCAACGCGGCUGCGCUUCUCCAGUUCAUCCCGAGAAGUUCUUCGUGUGCCCUUUUUAUGCUGCAGGAACUCUAGCUCAGUCAGCUCUUAAAAGGCGAGUGCUUUUCCCCCCUUCGUUAUCAUGUAGUCAUUUCAUUUUCAUCGACAAACUAUUCAUGGAUUGGCAUUCAUUCAUAAUCAUGGAAUUUGGGAAGACGGUAGUUUCAAGGAUAAAAAAAGUAUGAACUGUUGGAUGAAUGAUUGGGAUUGUAAAACAAAUAGAAACGAUGAAAGAUUGAUCCUACUCCUUGAUUUGCA